Molecule: microRNA precursor, 63 nt
Filed under: Taeniopygia guttata (zebra finch)
Lineage: Eukaryota; Metazoa; Chordata; Aves; Passeriformes; Estrildidae
Description: Tgu-Mir-23-P3_pre stem-loop
Rfam family: mir-23 microRNA precursor family
Source: RNAcentral
GGGGUUCCUGGCGAUGGGAUUUUUUACCGUUUUUGCCCAAAAUCACAUUGCCAGGGAUUUCCA